This 662-nucleotide ribosomal RNA is filed under the name uncultured Stemonitidae. RNAcentral's name for it is "bacterial SSU rRNA". It matches the Rfam family "Eukaryotic small subunit ribosomal RNA", at positions 27 to 555 of the family's 1831-position model. Lineage: Eukaryota; Evosea; Eumycetozoa; Stemonitida. The record is from RNAcentral.
UAUGCUUCUCCUAAAGACUAAGCCAUGCAUGCCUCCGAAUAGGAGAAAGCAAAUCUCUCUGAAUCUGCGAACGGCUCCAUAAACCAGUUGUAAACUAUAGCAAGCAAGUCCAGGGACGUGGCCCUUCAAAAGGCUCGGCCCUGGGCGAUAUGGAUAACCCUGGUAAUUCUGAGGCUAAUACAUGACUGCAAUCCCUGGCCAACCGGGACACCUGCUCUCUUCGGAGUCAAGGUCCUGGAAGACUGGGGGGCGUGCGAUUUGAGGCUUGAGAAGAACCAGGAAAGGACGCACACUCGAACCGCGUUACAAAGGACCGGGUUCCACGACCUCCCCCUCCGACACCCCCCUCCCAUUCGUGGGUCCGGGGUAAAGGGGGUGGGGUCGAGUUCCUUGCCCCAGCGGCUCUUGCUGUGUGCUCCUGACCUAUCAACUAGACGGCAGCGUAACGGACAUGCUAUGGUUACAACGGGUACAGAGGAUUAGGGUUCGAUCCUGGAGAGUGGGCCUGAGAGAUUGCUCAUACUUCUAAGGAAGGCAGCAGGCGCGCAACGUUCCCAUUGGGCGAUGCCCGAGGGCGUUAGAGGACAUAUGAAUGCCUGCCCAUUGGGUGGGCAAUUCAAAUGGGUCUGUUCUAAACAGGCUCUCGAGUAACAAUUAGAGGA